This 522-nucleotide ribosomal RNA is filed under the name uncultured Actinomycetes bacterium. RNAcentral describes it as "bacterial SSU rRNA". It matches the Rfam family "Bacterial small subunit ribosomal RNA", at positions 369 to 890 of the family's 1533-position model. RNAcentral also lists the same sequence under 1 other name. Lineage: Bacteria; Bacillati; Actinomycetota; Actinomycetes. The record is from RNAcentral.
CAAUGGACGCAAGUCUGAACCAGCCAUGCCGCGUGAAGGAUGAAGGUCCUCUGGAUUGUAAACUUCUUUUAUCUGGGAAGAAAUGCAUUUUUUCUAAAGAGUUUGACGGUACCAGAUGAAUAAGCACCGGCUAACUCCGUGCCAGCAGCCGCGGUAAUACGGAGGGUGCAAGCGUUAUCCGGAUUCACUGGGUUUAAAGGGUGCGUAGGUGGGCAGUUAAGUCAGUGGUGAAAUCUCCGNGCUUAACCCGGAAACUGCCAUUGAUACUAUCUGUCUUGAAUGUCGUGGAGGUAAGCGGAAUAUGUCAUGUAGCGGUGAAAUGCUUAGAUAUGACAUAGAACACCAAUUGCGAAGGCAGCUUGCUACCCGAAUAUUGACAGUGAGGCACGAAAGCGUGGGGAUCAAACAGGGAUUACAUACCCUGGUAGUCCACGCCCUAAACGAUGUAUACUCNACAUACGCGAUACACAGUGUGUGUCUGANCGAAAGCAUUAAGUAUCCCGCCUGGGAAGUACGACCGCA